GAUGAACGCUGGCGGCGUGCCUAAUACAUGCAAGUCGAGCGAACGGACGAGAAGCUUGCUUCUCUGAUGUUAGCGGCGGACGGGUGAGUAACACGUGGAUAACCUACCUAUAAGACUGGGAUAACUUCGGGAAACCGUAGCUAAUACCGGAUAAUAUUUUGAACCGCAUGGUUCAAAAGUGAAAGACGGUCUUGCUGUCACUUAUAGAUGGAUCCGCGCUGCAUUAGCUAGUUGGUAAGGUAACGGCUUACCAAGGCAACGAUGCAUAGCCGACCUGAGAGGGUGAUCGGCCACACUGUAACUGAGACACGGUCCAGACUCCUACGGGAUGCAGCAGUAGGGAAUCUUCCGCAAUGGGCGAAAGCCUGACGGAGCAACGCCGCGUGAGUGAUGAAGGUCUUCGGAUCGUAAAACUCUGUUAUUAGGGAAGAACAUAUGUGUAAGUAACUGUGCACAUCUUGACGGUACCUAAUCAGAAAGCCACGGCUAACUACGUG
This 497-nucleotide ribosomal RNA is filed under the name uncultured bacterium. Its description in RNAcentral is "partial 16S ribosomal RNA". It matches the Rfam family "Bacterial small subunit ribosomal RNA", at positions 28 to 507 of the family's 1533-position model. The record is from RNAcentral.